Molecule: long non-coding RNA, 377 nt
Organism: Melospiza georgiana
Lineage: Eukaryota; Metazoa; Chordata; Aves; Passeriformes; Passerellidae
Exons: 2
Source: RefSeq, a predicted model, not a curated record
ACAAAUAUGCAAAGGCAAACCAGAGUGGGAGACCACCCUUAGUUUGUUCAAAGUAGGAUGGAUUUCUGCUCUUAUUUGGGGCAGAGUCCAUGGUUUGGAGCAGGUGUAGAAAAUCUUCAGGGUCAGAAAAACUCAGAAUAAAGAUUAAAACACAGGUCUGGCAUCAUCCCAGCAGCAUGGAAGGAUUCCUGAAACGUGGCUCUCUGCCUAAUGCUGUUUCUGUACUACAUGUAUUUUAAUGCUAUUAUAGGAAAGCCCAAGAUAAGAAACAGAUUUGUCUUUCUUUUGAUCAAAACCCAAUUCUAAAUGUAUGUAGAUAAACUAACAACUGUGUAAAUAUCAUUCAAUAAAGUAAUGUGAACGCUACCAUCAGAAUU